UACGGAGAGUGCAAACGUUGUUCGGAAUUACUGGGCGUAAAGCGCGUGUAGGCUGCUUGGAAAGUCGGAUGUGAAAGCCCUGGGCUCAACCUAGGAAGUGCAUUCGAAACUUCUGAGCUGGAGUGCUGGAGAGGAAGGCGGAAUUCUCGGUGUAGAGGUGAAAUUCGUAGAUAUCGAGAGGAACACCGGUGGCGAAGGCGGCCUUCUGGACAGUAACUGACGCUGAGACGCGAAAGCGUGGGGAGCAAACAGG
Molecule: ribosomal RNA, 253 nt
Filed under: uncultured bacterium
Lineage: Bacteria
Description: partial 16S ribosomal RNA
Rfam family: Bacterial small subunit ribosomal RNA
Source: RNAcentral